CAGUCGCCGCGGGAAUACGAGGGGGGCAAGCGUUGCUCGGAAUUAUUGGGCGUAAAGGGUGCGUAGGCGGCCCCGCAAGUCUCAUGUGAAAUCUUCAGGCUCAACUUGAAGUCUGCAUGGGAAACUGCGGGGCUGGAGUAUGGGAGAGGUGAGUGGAAUUCCUGGUGUAGCGGUGAAACGCGUAGAUAUCAGGAGGAACACCUGUGGCGAAAGCGGCUCACUGGACCAUAACUGACGCUGAGGCACGAAAGCUAGGGGAGCAAACAGGAUUAGAUACCCCCGUAGUCCCUGUCUCUUAUAC
RNAcentral lists this ribosomal RNA (301 nucleotides) under uncultured bacterium. RNAcentral's name for it is "partial 16S ribosomal RNA". It matches the Rfam family "Bacterial small subunit ribosomal RNA", at positions 509 to 807 of the family's 1533-position model. The record is from RNAcentral.